Molecule: transfer RNA, 75 nt
Filed under: Desulfosporosinus meridiei
Lineage: Bacteria; Bacillati; Bacillota; Clostridia; Eubacteriales; Desulfitobacteriaceae
Also listed under: 18 other names
Description: tRNA-Gly
Rfam family: tRNA
About the family: Transfer RNA (tRNA) molecules are approximately 80 nucleotides in length. Their secondary structure includes four short double-helical elements and three loops (D, anti-codon, and T loops).
Source: RNAcentral
GGGCGAUUAGCUCAGCGGUAGAGCGCAUCCUUCACACGGAUGAGGCCACUGGUUCGAGACCAGUAUCGCCCACCA